RNAcentral lists this unclassified non-coding RNA (660 nucleotides) under Hevea brasiliensis (rubber tree). Lineage: Eukaryota; Viridiplantae; Streptophyta; Magnoliopsida; Malpighiales; Euphorbiaceae. The record is from RNAcentral.
AUAUCAAUAAUAAUAAGCUCUCUAUUAAAAUACCUAAAUUACUUCUGUAUUUAUAUACAAAUAAAUAGUCCUACUACUAGUACUACUAGAAAUUCCAAAAUAAGAAAAAUACUAAAUCAAUCUAAUUAGAAUAUAAAACCAACACCAACUAAAUAUAAACCAACGCUUACAAAUUCUAAAUAAAGAAUUCCUAAAUAAUUAAAAUAUUGCUUCCUAAUUACAUUUCCUAAAUAAUAGAAACCUAUACUUUCUAAUUGUACUAGAAAUUUGAAUUAAAGAUCUUAAUUUUACAAUACUUCAUUAUGUAGAUUUAGUAUUAGAAUUCAUUAUACCAAUAACUACUCAUGGUCACAUCUUUUGGUCCCAAGUUCCAUCAGUUUAGGAGGCAAAACUCAAGGCACCUCAUCACAAGUUGGGCAAGAAAAUAUAUUCUAGAAACUACGAUUCAGAAUGAUCAAUCCAGGAUGUUAGUACAUUUAUUAACUUUAGAUAAAAAAAAGAUCUGGAACAUGGUGUACUUUUGUUCCAAGAAACUAAUUUUUGCAUUUCACAAAAUUUGUUCUUUUUCUUCACUUCUAUGAUAAAUUAUGAACCAUACUAGAAAUGAUGUAGACACUUUACAAAUAACAAAGCUUUGGGCCAAACAGGGGCUAAAACCAG